UUGAACGCUGGCGGCAGGCCUAACACAUGCAAGUCGAGCGGAUGAAGGGAGCUUGCUCCUGGAUUCAGCGGCGGACGGGUGAGUAAUGCCUAGGAAUCUGCCUGGUAGUGGGGGAUAACGUCCGGAAACGGGCGCUAAUACCGCAUACGUCCUGAGGGAGAAAGUGGGGGAUCUUCGGACCUCACGCUAUCAGAUGAGCCUAGGUCGGAUUAGCUAGUUGGUGGGGUAAAGGCCUACCAAGGCGACGAUCCGUAACUGGUCUGAGAGGAUGAUCAGUCACACUGGAACUGAGACACGGUCCAGACUCCUACGGGAGGCAGCAGUGGGGAAUAUUGGACAAUGGGCGAAAGCCUGAUCCAGCCAUGCCGCGUGUGUGAAGAAGGUCUUCGGAUUGUAAAGCACUUUAAGUUGGGAGGAAGGGCAGUAAGUUAAUACCUUGCUGUUUUGACGUUAGCAACAGAAUAAGCACCGGCUAACUUCGUG
RNAcentral lists this ribosomal RNA (483 nucleotides) under uncultured bacterium. RNAcentral's name for it is "partial 16S ribosomal RNA". It matches the Rfam family "Bacterial small subunit ribosomal RNA", at positions 30 to 507 of the family's 1533-position model. The record is from RNAcentral.